This 506-nucleotide ribosomal RNA is filed under the name uncultured bacterium. RNAcentral's name for it is "partial 16S ribosomal RNA". It matches the Rfam family "Bacterial small subunit ribosomal RNA", at positions 28 to 523 of the family's 1533-position model. The record is from RNAcentral.
GAUGAACGCUAGCUACAGGCUUAACACAUGCAAGUCGAGGGGUAACAAGGGGAAAGCUUGCUUUCCUUGUUGACGACCGGCGCACGGGUGAGUAACGCGUAUCCAACCUGCCUAUAACUAGGGAAUAACCUUGCGAAAGUAAGACUAAUACCCUAUGACUUCCUUUGAUGACAUCAGAUUAGGGAUAAAGAUUUAUCGGUUAUAGAUGGGGAUGCGUCUGAUUAGCUUGUUGGCGGGGUAACGGCCCACCAAGGCAACGAUCAGUAGGGGUUCUGAGAGGAAGGUCCCCCACAUUGGAACUGAGACACGGCCCAAACUCCUACGGGAGGCAGCAGUGAGGAAUAUUGGUCAAUGGGCGGAAGCCUGAACCAGCCAAGUAGCGUGCAGGAUGACGGCCCUAUGGGUUGUAAACUGCUUUUAUACAGGAAUAAAGUUAGCCACGUGUGGUUAUUUGUAGGUACUGUAUGAAUAAGGACCGGCUAAUUCCGUGCCAGCCGCCGCGGUAA